RNA transcript from Salvia splendens (bonfire salvia), 2438 nucleotides. It is a transcript of the gene named GDSL esterase/lipase At5g62930, with no coding region annotated. The transcript has 5 exons. NCBI's taxonomy places the organism in Eukaryota, Viridiplantae, Streptophyta, Magnoliopsida, Lamiales, Lamiaceae. The record is from RefSeq and is a predicted model, not a curated record.
GAAUGAGGCCUCAAAUAGUGUUGUUUGGAGACUCCAUUACGCAGCAAUCUUUCAGAUCAGGGGGUUGGGGUGCUUCUGUCGCUGAUACAUACUCAAGAAAGGUUGAUGUAGUCCUUCGCGGCUAUGGCGGCUAUAACACUAGGUAUCUGAAGCGCCUUCUCCUGCAGCGGUUACUAUUUUUUUCGGGGCUAAUGAUGCUGCUCUUUUGGAGGGCACUGGAAAAAGGCAGCAUGUACCUUUGGAAGAAACAAGGAAAACUUGAGAAAAAUGGUUCAGCAAAUCAGGGUAUUUUUCCUACCUUCUGUGCUUCGUAUUGGCAACCUUCUGUUUAGAUAGAAUUUCAUGAAAUGAUUCCUUUGGAAGUCAAAUACAGUGAAGAGUAUCAAUAGCUUACUGAACUAAGAUUCACAUAGAGAACUGAUUGUGCAACUCUUCAGUGAUUCCACAAGUGUUAGACUGGUCCAAUCAUCUUUUGCUAUAGCAUUUUAAAUGGUUUUAGAUUAAAAUUGUAGAAUUGUUCCCCCAAAACGCUUGUUGUGCUCAGUGUUGUUAAAAUCGCGCCCCGAGCGCGCUUGGGUCGCGGGUCGCAAGGGUCGAGACCGACAUCGCCCCAAUGCGGUGGGGUCGUGCGAGAUCCGUGGAGCGACGGUGGGGCGCGCCUGGGUCGUCUGGGUCGCCGUGGAGCGCCUGGGUCGUCUGGGUCGCCCCGAUUCGUGGUGGUCGUCGGGAAAAUGGGUGCUCCAUUUUUAGGUUUAAAUUGGGAAUUGCAGAAUUUGUGUUAAUGGAAGGGGAGAAGAGGGGUAGGUAUGCUUUGGGAAGUGAGCUAUUGCACGUGGCCUUCUCAUGAAAUAAAUUCGCCACUUAGUUGAAUAGUAGUAAGCAAUGCACGUGGCCUUAUCAAUUUUUUAAUUCUAUUAAAAUGAAAUAUGUCAUAGGUUACUUCUUCUCUUCAAUUUUUUAAUUCUAUUAAAAUGAAAUGAUUAAAUAAAAUUUUUUAAUUCUAUUAAAAUGAAAUGAUUAAAUAAAAGAUAACUAAAUAUUUUAAUACUAUAGUUAAUUUGAGGCUCAUCAUAGAUAUAACUUGACACACAAAUUAUAUCCUCUUUAUAAAAAUUGUCCUGAUCUAAUACAUCAAACAAAAAAUAAAAAAAUUUAAAUCCAAAUUAUCUUGAAUGAUAAGAUAAUAAAAUCCUACACAUACUAUUUACUUAUUAUUUUAUAUUUUGCAACUUUUUUUGGAACUUUGAUGAUUUUUUAUAAUAAAAUUUAGUUAUUUAGUUAUGUUGUUUAAAAUUUAUAUUUUUUCGUCUAAUCUUCUCUUUUUAAUAUGGAGUAAUGAUGCAUGUAGAUUUAUUUGAUGUGAUAAACAUUCAAGCAACAAACUUAUAAAAGAGACACAAAUAUAAUUUUCAUUCGGCUAUUCUGGCGCCCCGAUUCGUGGGUCUCUCGCCCCGUCGCCCCAUCGCCCCGCGACCCGGGGUCCCCCCUCAUCGCCCCGGGGCGCCCCGCGACCCUAACAACACUGGUUGUGCUUAUAACUCCACCUCCUAUUGAUCUGGACGGUCGUCGAGAAUAUGCCAGGUCCAUGUAUGAUGAUAAGGCGUCGAAAGUGGCUGAUAGGACAAAUGAAGUAACUGGGACAUAUGCCGAGCAGUGUGUUGCUAUAGCCAAAGAACUUGGUCUUCCUUCAAUCAAUCUGUGGUCCAAGAUGCAAGAAACCAAUGGUUGGCAGAGAACAUUCUUGAGGUUAGUUAUCGAAUCAAUUCCAUUUAGAGCACGUUUAUCUAAUAGUCAAAAACUGUAUAUUAUGUUCUUACAACAAGCUGGGGAUUCUCUGAGUGAGAAUGUGGUUUUUGGGGAACUGGUCAAGAUUCUUGAUGAAGCAGGCUUCUCAGACCUGCCAUAUGAUUUCCCCCAACAUUCAGAAAUUGAUGAAGAAAACCCUGCAAGUUCCUUCGCUCAGUAAAUUUGGGAGGCUAUCAAUGCUUGAUGAGAACAGAUUUUGUCAAUGAAGUUUGAAGGAGUUAUUUACAAACAAUGGGUAAUCAAUAAACAUACCACUAUUUUAUUGUUGUAUAGUCGCUUGAUGCUGAAGCAGAUGCCAAAGGAAUCGCAGACCUGGCUACCACAAACUGAAGGCUGCCGGUUUCUGCCACUACCGGAAAACGUUUCACCAACACCCUGAUUCAUCAACGAUAUACAUCUCCCAUACUCUACCUGUUUACUUGAAACCUUUUGUGCAUCUCAUUAUACCUCAACUCUAUGUAUCUUUUGGCACUCGGAACCAUCACUGCUGAACGACAUAGAGUGAAGAUAUGUUCAACAUAAUUUCAUAAUUCUCCAUAGAUCCCAAAGAUGUCAUGAAAUUACUCAUAACAGUCAACAUCAACUCUAGACAUAUCAACUAAGUUAUAGAACUUACUUCAAAUUUUUCAUUC